RNAcentral lists this ribosomal RNA (437 nucleotides) under uncultured archaeon. Its description in RNAcentral is "bacterial SSU rRNA". It matches the Rfam family "Archaeal small subunit ribosomal RNA", at positions 103 to 571 of the family's 1478-position model. The record is from RNAcentral.
GACAAUCUACCCAAAGGUCUGGGAUAACCCCGGGAAACUGGGGAUAAUACCGGAUAACAAUACUGGAAUGGUUUGUAAAUGUAAAGCCUUUGGAUGGGUCUGCGGCGGAUUAGGUUGACGCGGUGUAACGUACCGCGUGCCUGUCAUCCGUACGGGUUGUGGGAGCAAGAGCCCGGAGAUGGAUCUGAGACAGAAUCCAGGCCCUACGGGGCGCAGCAGGCGCGAAAACUCUACAAUGCAGCAAUGCGAUAGGGGGACAUCGAGUGGCACCACUGGGUGCCUGUCCACGUCUAAAAAACGUUGUAGCAAGGGCCGGGUAAGACCGGUGCCAGCCGCCGCGGUAAUACCGGCGGCUCGAGUGGUGGCCGAUAUUAUUGAGUCUAAAGGGUCCGUAGCCGGCUUUCAAGUCCCCGGGAAAUCCGCGGCUUAACGUGGGA